This 338-nucleotide ribosomal RNA is filed under the name uncultured Oomycota. Its description in RNAcentral is "LSU rRNA". It matches the Rfam family "Eukaryotic large subunit ribosomal RNA", at positions 327 to 632 of the family's 3401-position model. Lineage: Eukaryota; Oomycota. The record is from RNAcentral.
UGCGAGACCGAUAGCGAACAAGUACCGUGAGGGAAAGAUGAAAAGAACUUUGAAAAGAGAGUUAAAGAGUACCUGAAACUGCUGAAAGGGAAGCGAAUCGUAUCCAGUGUCUAUAAUCUGUAGCAUAUUUCAUUGGCGAGUAGGUGCGUGCAGUAUGUAAGAAGUGGUUUUCUGCUCUUUGUGCUGUUCUGCGUUUGCUUGUUGGUGCCCUGUGUUGCGGUGGGACGUCAGAGUCAGUUCGUAUGCUGUGAGAAAUGGCUACUGAGGAGGUAGGUUAGGAGCUUGCUCUUGGCUGUUAUAUCUUGGUAGUUAGUUGUCGUGGUUGAGACUGAGGUGCC